This 250-nucleotide ribosomal RNA is filed under the name uncultured bacterium. Its description in RNAcentral is "partial 16S ribosomal RNA". It matches the Rfam family "Bacterial small subunit ribosomal RNA", at positions 524 to 773 of the family's 1533-position model. The record is from RNAcentral.
GACGAACCGUCCAAACGUUAUUCGGAAUUACUGGGCUUAAAGGGUGCGUAGGCUGCGCUGUUAGUCAGGUGUGAAAUCCCUCAGCUUAACUGAGGAAUAGCGCCCGAUACUGCAGUGCUGGAGGGAGACAGGGGUAAGCGGAACUGAUGGUGGAGCGGUGAAAUGCGUUGAUAUCAUCAGGAACACCGGUGGCGAAAGCGGCUUACUGGGUCUCUUCUGACGCUGAGGCACGAAAGCUAGGGGAGCGAAC